Molecule: ribosomal RNA, 253 nt
Filed under: uncultured bacterium
Lineage: Bacteria
Description: partial 16S ribosomal RNA
Rfam family: Bacterial small subunit ribosomal RNA
Source: RNAcentral
UACGGGGGGGGCAAGCGUUGUUCGGAAUUACUGGGCGUAAAGGGCUCGUAGGUGGCCAACUAAGUCAUACGUGAAAUCCCUCGGCUUAACCGGGGAACUGCGUCUGAUACUGGAUGGCUUGAGUUUGGGAGAGGGAUGCGGAAUUCCAGGUGUAGCGGUGAAAUGCGUAGAUAUCGGGAGGAACACCUAUUGCGAAGGCAGCUCGGUGGGACGUAACUGACGCUGAGACGCGAAAGCGUGGGGAGCAAACAGG